Molecule: small RNA, 911 nt
Filed under: uncultured Mortierella
Lineage: Eukaryota; Fungi; Mortierellomycota; Mortierellomycetes; Mortierellales; Mortierellaceae
Description: eukaryotic LSU rRNA
Rfam family: Eukaryotic large subunit ribosomal RNA (bases 627-911)
Source: RNAcentral
CUUGGUCAUUUAGAGGAAGUAAAAGUCGUAACAAGGUUUCCGUAGGUGAACCUGCGGAAGGAUCAUUCACAAACGAGUGUUUUAUGGCACUCUUUAAAAAUCCAUAUCCACCUUGUGUGCAAUGUUUGUUGGGAAAGUCCUUUCUUUCCCUUCAUAAAUAUCAACCUAUAUCUUUAACAACAUUCGUCUGAUAACAUAUUAUGAAUAUACUUAAUUCAAAAUAUAACUUUCAACAACGGAUCUCUUGGCUCUCGCAUCGAUGAAGAACGCAGCGAAAUGCGAUACGUAAUGUGAAUUGCAGAAUUCAGUGAAUCAUCGAAUCUUUGAACGCAUAUUGCGCUCUUUGGUAUUCCGAAGAGCAUGCUUGUUUGAGUAUCAGUAAACACCUCAACCUCUCUUUUUUGAUAAAAAAAAAGGGAGGGUGGACUUGAGCUAUCCCAACGACCUUCACCGGUAGGCGGGCGGCUUGAAAUGCGGGUGCAGCUGGACUUUUAUCUGAGCUAAAAGCAUAUCUAUUUAGUCCUCGUCAAACAGGAUUAUUACUUUUGCUGCAGCUAACAUAAAGGAUAAUUGUCCUCUUUGCUGACUGAUGCAGGAUUUUACGACACUUUAUGUGUUGUUCAACUCGAUCUCAAAUCAAGUAAGACUACCCGCUGAACUUAAGCAUAUCAAUAAGCGGAGGAAAAGAAACUAACAAGGAUUCCCCUAGUAACGGCGAGUGAAGCGGGAUGAGCUCAAAUUUGAAAUCUGGCUGGUUUACUAGUCCGAGUUGUAAUUUAAAGAAGCGUUUUCGGUGGCAGCCUGGGUAUAAAUCCUUUGGAAUAGGGUAUCAUAGAGGGUGAGAAUCCCGUCUUUGACCUAGUGCAUGCUACUAUGUGAUACGUUUUCAAAGAGUCGAGUUGUUUGGGAAU